GUCUAAUGCGCGCGCGGAGGAGGAGCGCGGGCGGAGCCUGACCCAGCGCCGAGGGACAUCGGCACUGGAUUCAGGUAAGUCACUGAAGGGGUUUUAACCCCUUCAGCAACAUGGGAUGGGGGGUUGGAGGGAGAGGGGCACUGCAAGAUAUGUUUUCCUGGCACUGGAGAGUCCCUUUAAGGCAGAGGCAGGGCACAAAUUGCAAAUGAGUUAAAGAAAUAGAAUCAUUGUUUCUUUUUUUCUUGCUUUCUCUACAUUGACUGUGAGGCGCAGUGUAAAGGACCAAGCGUU
Non-coding RNA from Pelobates cultripes (western spadefoot toad), 291 nucleotides. NCBI's taxonomy places the organism in Eukaryota, Metazoa, Chordata, Amphibia, Anura, Pelobatidae. The record is from the annotation of a GenBank genome assembly.